UGAAGAGUUUGAUCAUGGCUCAGAUUGAACGCUGGCGGCAGGCCUAACACAUGCAAGUCGAACGGUAACAGGAAGCAGCUUGCUGCUUUGCUGACGAGUGGCGGACGGGUGAGUAAUGUCUGGGAAACUGCCUGAUGGAGGGGGAUAACUACUGGAAACGGUGGCUAAUACCGCAUAACGUCGCAAGACCAAAGAGGGGGACCUUCGGGCCUCUUGCCAUCAGAUGUGCCCAGAUGGGAUUAGCUUGUUGGUGAGGUAACGGCUCACCAAGGCGACGAUCCCUAGCUGGUCUGAGAGGAUGACCAGCCACACUGGAACUGAGACACGGUCCAGACUCCUACGGGAGGCAGCAGUGGGGAAUAUUGCACAAUGGGCGCAAGCCUGAUGCAGCCAUGCCGCGUGUAUGAAGAAGGCCUUCGGGUUGUAAAGUACUUUCAGCGGGGAGGAAGGUGUUGUGGUUAAUAACCGCAGCAAUUGACGUUACCCGCAGAAGAAGCACCGGCUAACUCCGUGCCAGCAGCCGCGGUAAUACGGAGGGUGCAAGCGUUAAUCGGAAUUACUGGGCGUAAAGCGCACGCAGGCGGUCUGUCAAGUCGGAUGUGAAAUCCCCGGGCUCAACCUGGGAACUGCAUUCGAAACUGGCAGGCUUGAGUCUUGUAGAGGGGGGUAGAAUUCCAGGUGUAGCGGUGAAAUGCGUAGAGAUCUGGAGGAAUACCGGUGGCGAAGGCGGCCCCCUGGACAAAGACUGACGCUCAGGUGCGAAAGCGUGGGGAGCAAACAGGAUUAGAUACCCUGGUAGUCCACGCCGUAAACGAUGUCUACUUGGAGGUUGUGCCCUUGAGGCGUGGCUUCCGGAGCUAACGCGUUAAGUAGACCGCCUGGGGAGUACGGCCGCAAGGUUAAAACUCAAAUGAAUUGACGGGGGCCCGCACAAGCGGUGGAGCAUGUGGUUUAAUUCGAUGCAACGCGAAGAACCUUACCUGGUCUUGACAUCCACGGAAGUUUUCAGAGAUGAGAAUGUGCCUUCGGGAACCGUGAGACAGGUGCUGCAUGGCUGUCGUCAGCUCGUGUUGUGAAAUGUUGGGUUAAGUCCCGCAACGAGCGCAACCCUUAUCCUUUGUUGCCAGCGAUUAGG
RNAcentral lists this ribosomal RNA (1135 nucleotides) under Salmonella enterica. RNAcentral's name for it is "bacterial SSU rRNA". It matches the Rfam family "Bacterial small subunit ribosomal RNA", at positions 1 to 1129 of the family's 1533-position model. Lineage: Bacteria; Pseudomonadati; Pseudomonadota; Gammaproteobacteria; Enterobacterales; Enterobacteriaceae. The record is from RNAcentral.